This 464-nucleotide ribosomal RNA is filed under the name Vreelandella stevensii. RNAcentral describes it as "partial 16S ribosomal RNA". It matches the Rfam family "Bacterial small subunit ribosomal RNA", at positions 338 to 795 of the family's 1533-position model. Lineage: Bacteria; Pseudomonadati; Pseudomonadota; Gammaproteobacteria; Oceanospirillales; Halomonadaceae. The record is from RNAcentral.
CCUACGGGGGGCUGCAGUGGGGAAUAUUGGACAAUGGGGGGAACCCUGAUCCAGCCAUGCCGCGUGUGUGAAGAAGGCCCUCGGGUUGUAAAGCACUUUCAGUGAGGAAGAACGCCUGGUGGUUAAUACCCAUCAGGAAAGACAUCACUCACAGAAGAAGCACCGGCUAACUCCGUGCCAGCAGCCGCGGUAAUACGGAGGGUGCGAGCGUUAAUCGGAAUUACUGGGCGUAAAGCGCGCGUAGGUGGCUUGAUAAGCCGGUUGUGAAAGCCCCGGGCUCAACCUGGGAACGGCAUCCGGAACUGUCAAGCUAGAGUGCAGGAGAGGAAGGUAGAAUUCCCGGUGUAGCGGUGAAAUGCGUAGAGAUCGGGAGGAAUACCAGUGGCGAAGGCGGCCUUCUGGACUGACACUGACACUGAGGUGCGAAAGCGUGGGUAGCAAACAGGAUUAGAUACCCCGUAGUC